RNAcentral lists this ribosomal RNA (449 nucleotides) under uncultured bacterium. RNAcentral's name for it is "partial 16S ribosomal RNA". It matches the Rfam family "Bacterial small subunit ribosomal RNA", at positions 29 to 523 of the family's 1533-position model. The record is from RNAcentral.
AGCGAACGCUGGCGGCAGGCCUAACACAUGCAAGUCGAACGAACUCUUCGGAGUUAGUGGCGGACGGGUGAGUAACACGUGGGAACGUGCCUUUAGGUUCGGAAUAACUCAGGGAAACUUGUGCUAAUACUGAAUGUGCCCUUCGGGGGAAAGAUUUAUCGCCUUUAGAGCGGCCCGCGGCUGAUUAGCUAGUUGGUGAGGUAAAGGCUCACCAAGGCGACGAUCAGGAGCGGGUCUGAGAGGAUGAUCAGCAACAUUGGGACUGGGACACGGCCCAAACUCCUACGGGAGGCGGCAGUGGGGAAUCUUGCGCAAUGGGCGAAAGCCUGACGCAGCCAUGCCGCGUGAAUGAUGAAGGUCUUAGGCUUGUAAAAGUCUUUCACCGAGGACGAUAAUGACGGUACCCGGAGAAGAAGCCCCGGCUAACUUCGUGCCAGCAGCCGCCGCAG